AUUCCAGCUCCAAUAGCGUAUAUUAAAGUUGUUGCGGUUAAAAAGCUCGUAGUUGGAGUUCUGCCAGGUGGCGCUCGUCCGCCCAAGUGGUGUGUACAGGGCGUGCAUCUGGCCCUUUCAAGGGGAACGUGUCUGCACUUCAUUGUGUGGUGCGAGAUCCUUGACUUUUACUUUGAGGAAAUAAGAGUGUUCCAAGCAGGCUCUCGUCGUGCAUAGCUCAGCAUGGAAUAAUAGCAUUGGACUUCGUUUCUACGCUGUUGGUUGCAAGAAGCGAAGUAAUGAUUAAUAGGGAUAGUUGGGGGCAUUAGUAUUUAUUAGCUAGAGGUGGAAUUCUCUAAUUUGAUAAAGACUAACUUAUGCGAAAGCAUUCACCAAGGAUGUCUUCAUCA
Molecule: ribosomal RNA, 389 nt
Filed under: Syndiniales sp.
Lineage: Eukaryota; Dinophyceae; Syndiniales
Description: partial small subunit ribosomal RNA
Rfam family: Eukaryotic small subunit ribosomal RNA
Source: RNAcentral